RNAcentral lists this long non-coding RNA (238 nucleotides) under Gossypium raimondii (Peruvian cotton). Its description in RNAcentral is "long non-coding RNA (GRAI_LNC010799)". The record is from RNAcentral. Lineage: Eukaryota; Viridiplantae; Streptophyta; Magnoliopsida; Malvales; Malvaceae.
AGCUAAAGAUAUUAAAUAGCUAUAGAAUUUUAAAUUGGAGGUCCUUAUAUAGUAAUUAGCCAUUAAAGUUGUUAUUGGAUAAGCAUGAAUAGUCAUCAUUGGAAACUGAAUGAAAUAUUAAGGUUAAUUUUUGAAAUUACUGAUUAAAGUUAAAAUAAAUUAAACAAAAUAAACUAUUAUCAUCCAUUCUCAUCAUCUUCCACCAAAAUUUAAAAAAAAAAAAAAAAACCUAGCCAUG